AAGAGAGAAUGAGAAAGAGAGCAAAAGCACAGCUUGUUUUUCAUUUGGUUUCAGUUUUCAUUUAUAUAAUAUAAAAAGUUUCAAACAAAUCCCAGUGGAUUUUGCAUUGUUUUCGCUUUGGUCAGCAUAUAGUUUAUUCGAUAAAUGCAGCGAUUUUUUUUCAUUUAAUUCGCAAAAAAAGAGAGAAACGAUAUACAGUGUGCGCAACUGAGUGCAAACACUAUUGUUGGAUUUUGAUUUCAAAGAUAGUUUAAUUCGGUUAGUGUGCUGUUUAAGACACCUGAAGCGUCAUCGUAGUUGUUCAGUGCCAAACGUGCAACAAGUAGCCUUUUUUCACAAAAAAUAAAAUAGACGUGGUUUUUUUUCUUCAAUAUGAUAUCGAUUUGGAUCAAUUCAAUUUUAUUGAUUACAUUAGUGUCAGUAUCAAUAAUUCAAUCAGAAAUGAUUGAAAAAUCGGAACCACCAACCAUUGGCUAUGAAGCAGAUUAUGAGAUUCCAGUGAAACCAUCGAUGACCGGAAUGUCAUUCGUUGCAUAUAUUAUCGAACAGGGCGAUUUAAUUGUGAAGAAAAAAUGUUCGUGCAUUUCUCGAAUUGAAUGUCACACAACAGAUAUAAUCAAACUAUCCAAAAAUCGUUGUGGAGGUGGAAAUGUUUGCUGCUUACAUUGAAGUUUAAAAUGAAGGAGCCGCUAAAUUCAAUUAUAAUAAAUAUUUUGAUAUUUUGUAUUUUGUUUCGUAAAUACGGUUUGUUUCAAGAUUUAAACGAAUCAAUAAAAGUUGAUUAAAUUUA
This is a long non-coding RNA of Contarinia nasturtii (swede midge), 790 nucleotides long. RefSeq lists it as uncharacterized. NCBI's taxonomy places the organism in Eukaryota, Metazoa, Arthropoda, Insecta, Diptera, Cecidomyiidae. The record is from RefSeq and is a predicted model, not a curated record. The transcript has 2 exons.